Molecule: ribosomal RNA, 1701 nt
Filed under: Escherichia coli
Lineage: Bacteria; Pseudomonadati; Pseudomonadota; Gammaproteobacteria; Enterobacterales; Enterobacteriaceae
Description: partial 23S ribosomal RNA
Rfam family: Bacterial large subunit ribosomal RNA
Source: RNAcentral
ACACUAUCAUUAACUGAAUCCAUAGGUUAAUGAGGCGAACCGGGGGAACUGAAACAUCUAAGUACCCCGAGGAAAAGAAAUCAACCGAGAUUCCCCCAGUAGCGGCGAGCGAACGGGGAGGAGCCCAGAGCCUGAAUCAGUGUGUGUGUUAGUGGAAGCGUCUGGAAAGGCGCGCGAUACAGGGUGACAGCCCCGUACACAAAAAUGCACAUGCUGUGAGCUCGAUGAGUAGGGCGGGACACGUGGUAUCCUGUCUGAAUAUGGGGGGACCAUCCUCCAAGGCUAAAUACUCCUGACUGACCGAUAGUGAACCAGUACCGUGAGGGAAAGGCGAAAAGAACCCCGGCGAGGGGAGUGAAAAAGAACCUGAAACCGUGUACGUACAAGCAGUGGGAGCACAGAGCAAUCUGUGUGACUGCGUACCUUUUGUAUAAUGGGUCAGCGACUUAUAUUCUGUAGCAAGGUUAACCGAAUAGGGGAGCCGAAGGGAAACCGAGUCUUAACUGGGCGUUAAGUUGCAGGGUAUAGACCCGAAACCCGGUGAUCUAGCCAUGGGCAGGUUGAAGGUUGGGUAACACUAACUGGAGGACCGAACCGACUAAUGUUGAAAAAUUAGCGGAUGACUUGUGGCUGGGGGUGAAAGGCCAAUCAAACCGGGAGAUAGCUGGUUCUCCCCGAAAGCUAUUUAGGUAGCGCCUCGUGAAUUCAUCUCCGGGGGUAGAGCACUGUUUCGGCAAGGGGGUCAUCCCGACUUACCAACCCGAUGCAAACUGCGAAUACCGGAGAAUGUUAUCACGGGAGACACACGGCGGGUGCUAACGUCCGUCGUGAAGAGGGAAACAACCCAGACCGCCAGCUAAGGUCCCAAAGUCAUGGUUAAGUGGGAAACGAUGUGGGAAGGCCCAGACAGCCAGGAUGUUGGCUUAGAAGCAGCCAUCAUUUAAAGAAAGCGUAAUAGCUCACUGGUCGAGUCGGCCUGCGCGGAAGAUGUAACGGGGCUAAACCAUGCACCGAAGCUGCGGCAGCGACACUAUGUGUUGUUGGGUAGGGGAGCGUUCUGUAAGCCUGUGAAGGUGUGCUGUGAGGCAUGCUGGAGGUAUCAGAAGUGCGAAUGCUGACAUAAGUAACGAUAAAGCGGGUGAAAAGCCCGCUCGCCGGAAGACCAAGGGUUCCUGUCCAACGUUAAUCGGGGCAGGGUGAGUCGACCCCUAAGGCGAGGCCGAAAGGCGUAGUCGAUGGGAAACAGGUUAAUAUUCCUGUACUUGGUGUUACUGCGAAGGGGGGACGGAGAAGGCUAUGUUGGCCGGGCGACGGUUGUCCCGGUUUAAGCGUGUAGGCUGGUUUUCCAGGCAAAUCCGGAAAAUCAAGGCUGAGGCGUGAUGACGAGGCACUACGGUGCUGAAGCAACAAAUGCCCUGCUUCCAGGAAAAGCCUCUAAGCAUCAGGUAACAUCAAAUCGUACCCCAAACCGACACAGGUGGUCAGGUAGAGAAUACCAAGGCGCUUGAGAGAACUCGGGUGAAGGAACUAGGCAAAAUGGUGCCGUAACUUCGGGAGAAGGCACGCUGAUAUGUAGGUGAAGCGACUUGCUCGUGGAGCUGAAAUCAGUCGAAGAUACCAGCUGGCUGCAACUGUUUAUUAAAAACACAGCACUGUGCAAACACGAAAGUGGACGUAUACGGUGUGACGCCUGCCCGGUGC